This is an RNA transcript of Salarias fasciatus (jewelled blenny), 1713 nucleotides long. It is a transcript of the gene named transcription factor Adf-1-like, with no coding region annotated. The transcript has 4 exons. The record is from RefSeq and is a predicted model, not a curated record. NCBI's taxonomy places the organism in Eukaryota, Metazoa, Chordata, Actinopteri, Blenniiformes, Blenniidae.
AUAAUGCUGUAUAUUUGUAAGGACUGACUUGACAUUAUGUUUUGCAGUAAGUCAAAGCAAACGAAACCCCAGAUGUAAUGCACAACAUCACAUGAGACAAAAGAAUGACAAGGCGUCUUAUGGAUGGAGAAUCUUUGCCCCAGCCAAAGGCAGAAACUUGGACACUCCUGAAGCUGAUGAAAACAUGGACACUCCUGAAGCAGAUUGAUUGCUCGCUGUGCAUUAAGCUACGUUCACACCGCCAAGUGCUGUCUGCGAUUUUGCGUCAAAGACAAGUGAAAACAAAUGGGAACGCGCGUUCCAGCUGCGAUGAGACGCGGCGCGUCGUCACGACGCGUCACCAUGCGUUGUGCGGUGCGUCGGGGCGUUGGCGCUACGCGUCGCGAUUUUGCGUCCGACGCUGAAGUUGGGAAAUCUGAACUUUGGCGCGUCGCGAUUUUGCGGCAAACCAAUCAUAGAGCGUGCCCAUGGUGACGUCGGCCAGGGAGCGGGAACCGGUCCGAAGAGAAGCACUUCGACCAUGGAGGAGCGUGUAAUAAUGGCCGUUUACGCUCGCCCAGAGCUCUGGGACAAAACUUCUUCUUUUUACAGGGACAGGAACAGAAAAGCAAUUGCUUGGAGAAGGGUCAGUGAGGAGGUGGGCGUCUCUGGUAAGUAACAUGAAAAACCCAACUUCUAUUUAGUUUAGAUCACCCGCUUUUUUUUACCUAGCCAAAAGAUCGAGUUAGCACCAUUGCUACAUCCAUGUUUGCUGACUAGUCGUAUGUUCAUUCAGAGGAGGUUUGCCGAGUGCGGUGGAAGAGCCUCAGGGACACCGACAUCAGGGAGAGCCGGAAGGAGAGAGAAAGGAGGGACAGGAGUGGUGGAGCAGCAGCGACAGGUGCCAAGUGGCGGUACCUCGCCCUCCUGUCCUUUCUGGAGCCCUCCGUGGCGCCACGCCACACUAGUGGGAAUAUGAGCCCACGGAGGGCCCAGGAGGAUCAGGAAGGAGGGCGCCCAGAGGAGCCAGUAGAAGAAGCAGCAGGGCUUUCAGGUGAGCUGUUGACACAGCAGCCAGAGUCCUCCCUGGGUCUGCCUGGCCCCACCCCUGCUGCUGCUUCCACAGCUGGCUCCUCUGCUGCAGAAACAUCUGUGCAGGCUGGCCCUUCCUCUGCUGCUCCACCACCAGGUCCGAGGAAGAGAGGCAGAAAGAGGCGCCACGACUCCGGGCCCACAGAGUGGCAAAAGGAGAUGCUGGACACACUGAGGGCCAUACCAGAAGCGCCUCCUGCUGCACCGCCCAGGCCUCUCUCCGAGGACGAGAUGUUCCUCCUUUCUCUCGUUCCUCUUCUGCAAAAGGUGCCUCCUCAGUCCAAGGACUACGUCAAAUUCCAAAUUCAUAAAUUAAUAUAUGACAACAGCACAGUUCUGUUAAAUUUGGAACGAUUGGAGCCUACAGAGUAAACUGGUUUAUUAACCAAGAGGAGGCAUCCUUUGCAGAAGAGGAAGCAGACCUUCUGCUCUCCCUCCCCUGAGGCUGUUCCACCGCACCUUCUCCAAGCAUGGACUUUUCUGUUCCUGUCCCUGUGAACUUGUAAAUAGUUAUUUAUUUUAGUUGUAUAUAGUUUCUAUGUCAGAAAUCAAUCUAUGUUCUAUUUUGUAAUAAAUAACUUUUCCCCCACUUAUUUUGGAGUCUUAUUUAUAAGCACAAAACAAGUUGACAUACAUGGUUUA